This 107-nucleotide ribosomal RNA is filed under the name Mus spicilegus (steppe mouse). Lineage: Eukaryota; Metazoa; Chordata; Mammalia; Rodentia; Muridae. The record is from RNAcentral.
GAUUAAGCCCCCCCCCCCAACCCCAUCUGAUCUCGGAAGCUAAGCAGGGUCGGGCCUGGUUAGUACUUGCAUGGAAGACCGCCUGGGAAUACCGGGUGCUGUAGGCA